GACAAAGAGAGCGGGGGCCAGCCCCCCACCCUGCUCCUCACCUGCUGGAUGCCCCGGGAGGCCACGAAGCUGGUGAUGUCGGGGGGCAUGCGGAGCCCGGGAGGGGCGACGUAGCGCAGGUUGACGCGGUACUGGCUCCUCGCGGAUGGUGAAGAUGUCCAGCAGCGCCUGCGUGGGGUGCUCGCCCACCCCGUCCCCGGCGUUGAUCACCGGCUUGCGGCAGUGCCUGGCGGCCAGCUGGGAGCACCGGCAAGGCAGGGCAGGGCCGCGCUGUCAGCUCGGGGAGCCCGGCACCCCGCCCGGGACGGGGCUCCCUCGGGGUGCCCAGGGGCACGGCUCACCUUGAGGAUGUCCAGGCUCCGCUCCUUCUGCACCAGCAUGCGCAGGGAAGAAAAGGACCCAGGACCUCACCUGCCCAUCGAUGUAGGCAACCUCCCCACGCAGGACGACCCUCCGCACCGUCCCCUUGACCUGCAUGCCCUCAAAGGGGGUCCAACGGGCCUUGGAGAAGACUGUGCUGC
Molecule: long non-coding RNA, 521 nt
Organism: Onychostruthus taczanowskii (white-rumped snowfinch)
Lineage: Eukaryota; Metazoa; Chordata; Aves; Passeriformes; Passeridae
Exons: 4
Source: RefSeq, a predicted model, not a curated record